AGAGUUUGAUCAUGGCUCAGGAUGAACGCUAGCGAUAGGCCUAACACAUGCAAGUCGAGGGGCAGCACAUGAAGUAGCAAUACGGAUGGUGGCGACCGGCGCACGGGUGAGUAACGCGUAUGCAACCUGCCUACAACAGGGGAAUAACCCGUUGAAAGACGGACUAAUACCCCAUAACACAGGGAUCCCGCAUGGGAAUAUUUGUUAAAGAUUUAUCGGUUGUAGAUGGGCAUGCGUUCCAUUAGCUGGUUGGUGAGGUAACGGCUCACCAAGGCAACGAUGGAUAGGGGAACUGAGAGGUUUAUCCCCCACACUGGUACUGAGACACGGACCAGACUCCUACGGGAGGCAGCAGUGAGGAAUAUUGGUCAAUGGACGCAAGUCUGAACCAGCCACGUCGCGUGAAGGAAGACGGCCCUACGGGUUGUAAACUUCUUUUGUAAGGGAAUAAAGUGCAGUACGUGUACUGUUUUGCAUGUACCUUACGAAUAAGGAUCGGCUAACUCCGUGCCAGCAGCCGCGGUAAUACGGAGGAUCCGAGCGUUAUCCGGAUUUAUUGGGUUUAAAGGGUGCGCAGGCGGGAGAUUAAGUCGGCGGUGAAAUUUUGCAGCUCAACUGUAAAAGUGCCUUCGAAACUGGUUUUCUUGAGUGUGGAUGAAGUAGGCGGAAUUUGUGGUGUAGCGGUGAAAUGCAUAGAUAUCACGAGGAACUCCGAUUGCGCACGCAGCUUACUAAACCAUAACUGACGCUCAGGCACGAAGGCGUGGGGAUCAAACAGGAUUAGAUACCCUGGUAGUC
RNAcentral lists this ribosomal RNA (798 nucleotides) under uncultured Proteiniphilum sp. Its description in RNAcentral is "bacterial SSU rRNA". It matches the Rfam family "Bacterial small subunit ribosomal RNA", at positions 8 to 795 of the family's 1533-position model. The record is from RNAcentral. Lineage: Bacteria; Pseudomonadati; Bacteroidota; Bacteroidia; Bacteroidales; Dysgonomonadaceae.